RNAcentral lists this ribosomal RNA (253 nucleotides) under uncultured bacterium. RNAcentral describes it as "partial 16S ribosomal RNA". It matches the Rfam family "Bacterial small subunit ribosomal RNA", at positions 524 to 776 of the family's 1533-position model. The record is from RNAcentral.
UACGAAGGGGGCUAGCGUUGUUCGGAUUUACUGGGCGUAAAGCGCACGUAGGCGGACUCUUAAGUCGGUGGUGAAAUCCUGGAGCUCAACUCCAGAACUGCCUUCGAUACUGAGAGUCUCGAGUCCGGGAGAGGUGAGUGGAACUGCGAGUGUAGAGGUGAAAUUCGUAGAUAUUCGCAAGAACACCAGUGGCGAAGGCGGCUCACUGGCCCGGUACUGACGCUGAGGUGCGAAAGCGUGGGGAGCAAACAGG